CAUCUUUCGUCUUGUUAAUGUAGCUGGCAAGCAAAGCGGCGUUAUGAAUAAAUUUAAGUUGCUAUAGAAACAAUGUUCUGUUGAUUGUCACUUGUGUCAUAGAAAAUAAAAAGAGCUAUCCAUUGUGUAUUCCUACUGUUGUAAUAAAUUAAUUUCGUGGACAAAUCUAUCUUCUAUUUUUCUACUGUAAAAUCACACUCAGCCACACGCUCACACACGUCUGACAUUGAAAAGACAGGGAUUUUUCUUGUUUUGACGUAUUUUCUAACCUCUUAGAAUGUUAUUAGAAGUCGUAAUAAAAUAAUUUGAACAUAAAGCUAUGUUUUAAAGUAAAUAAAGACCAUUUAACGAUGUUAACAUGAUGAGACAUCGAUUUUAUGGAAUGGAGGAGAAGAUUUAACAGCUAGAAAUUAACAAAAAUCCUGCAAGAGCAUCGAGAUCUCGCUUUUGGCGAGUGGAAGUCCAAAGGCAAAGUGCAGCGGUUUGCAGUUCUUAGCCUCACUUUUUUGGACCUAACAAGACAGGAAAAGAAUAGUCAAAGAGGAAUCCCGAGUAGCCAGAUGAUAAUAUAUGAAACCAUGAGCAGCCAGCCAUUGAAACUCUCAGCAAUUUGAAUAACAAUUUUGAUUGAUUACCAAUCAUGUAUCAUACCUAUUAAUAGAAAAUUAAAACUGUUAGGUACCUAUGUUUUAAUUGAAAUUCAAAAUAUUGUUUAAUGUUUUAUAAGUAUUUAUUAAAUAAAUUGUCACACAUAUAUUUUGUUUUAAUCCCAUUAAUGUCUAUUUGCCCGCAAGUGUUGAUGGUAUUUCUUAAGUGUGCCUAGGAACCUUAGUCCUAUUACUUAUUCUGUGCCGGAGCUGGAUCUUUGUAAGGUUUGGGUAGGGUAGGUACCUGUAAUGAUUAAUAAAUGUUGAUGAGUAGAAUACUAUAACAUUAAUUUUAUAGUUAUUAGUUUAGGUAAAUAAGUUUAUUAAGAUCUAAAACUUUCUGGCUAAAACACUUACGAGCAAAGGUAUGGAAUCACCCUGUUGUGUUUUGUUCUGUAUGAUCUUAAGAACUGAAUGCAUAUGACAUUUGUAUAAAAUAGUUCAUGGAUAAAUCUUAUGUAGGCAUGAGUACCUACCUACUUCUCCGAGUAUGUUGGGGGUAUUGAGAGCAUUGGUUAAGUAAUUCCAAAUGCUUCUUCAUACCAUCAGUACCUUGGUAUGAACUGGAUGCAUCUUAAUGCAUAGCACAUAAUAUAACCUGUAAUAAUUAUUAUCUAUCAAAUGACAAAGAAAUCAUGUGGUAUGUAGAGUAGACAGAAUGUAUGAAUAAAUUAUGUACUUGCCUUGUGUUCCAAGGACACUCUUUUUGUUGCCAUAAGACUAUCUUUCCGGCAAUUUGUCACAUAAGUAGGUAUCUUACAGGGCAGAUAUGUACCAUCCUAGACUGCAUCCCUCUUAACAUCAUGUGCGAUU
Long non-coding RNA from Ostrinia nubilalis (European corn borer), 1460 nucleotides. RefSeq lists it as uncharacterized. The transcript is spliced from 3 exons. NCBI's taxonomy places the organism in Eukaryota, Metazoa, Arthropoda, Insecta, Lepidoptera, Crambidae. The record is from RefSeq and is a predicted model, not a curated record.